RNAcentral lists this ribosomal RNA (219 nucleotides) under Chlamydia sp. CPSSNAKE. RNAcentral's name for it is "partial 16S ribosomal RNA". It matches the Rfam family "Bacterial small subunit ribosomal RNA", at positions 66 to 273 of the family's 1533-position model. The record is from RNAcentral. Lineage: Bacteria; Pseudomonadati; Chlamydiota; Chlamydiia; Chlamydiales; Chlamydiaceae.
ACGGAAUAAUGACUUCGGUUAUUAUUUAGUGGCGGAAGGGUUAGUAAUACAUAGAUAAUCUGUCCUCAACUUGGGAAUAACGGUUGGAAACGACCGCUAAUACCGAAUGUGGUAUGUUUAGGCAUCUAAAACAUAUUAAAGAAGGGGAUCUUAGGACCUUUCGGUUAAGGAAGAGUCUAUGGGAUAUCAGCUUGUUGGUGGGGUAAUGGCCUACCAAGG